Molecule: ribosomal RNA, 464 nt
Filed under: uncultured bacterium
Lineage: Bacteria
Description: partial 16S ribosomal RNA
Rfam family: Bacterial small subunit ribosomal RNA
Source: RNAcentral
CUACGGGUGGCUCCAGUGGGGAAUAUUGCACAAUGGGCGCAAGCCUGAUGCAGCCAUGCCGCGUGUAUGAAGAAGGCCCUCGGGUUGUAAAGUACUUUCAGCGGGGAGGAAGGGAGUAAAGUUAAUACCUUUGCUCAUUGACGUUACCCGCAGAAGAAGCACCGGCUAACUCCGUGCCAGCAGCCGCGGUAAUACGGAGGGUGCAAGCGUUAAUCGGAAUUACUGGGCGUAAAGCGCACGCAGGCGGUUUGUUAAGUCAGGUGUGAAAUCCCCGGGCUCAACCUGGGAACUGCAUCUGAUACUGGCAAGCUUGAGUCUCGUAGAGGGGGGUAGAAUUCCAGGUGUAGCGGUGAAAUGCGUAGAGAUCUGGAGGAAUACCGGUGGCGAAGGCGGCCCCCUGGACGAAGACUGACGCUCAGGUGCGAAAGCGUGGGGAGCAAACAGGAUUAGAUACCCUUGUAGUC